This 485-nucleotide ribosomal RNA is filed under the name uncultured bacterium. Its description in RNAcentral is "bacterial SSU rRNA". It matches the Rfam family "Bacterial small subunit ribosomal RNA", at positions 501 to 987 of the family's 1533-position model. The record is from RNAcentral.
CUACGUGCCAGCAGCCGCGGUAAUACGGAGGGUGCGAGCGUUAAUCGGAAUAACUGGGCGUAAAGGGCACGCAGGCGGUGACUUAAGUGAGGUGUGAAAGCCCCGGGCUUAACCUGGGAAUUGCAUUUCAUACUGGGUCGCUAGAGUACUUUAGGGAGGGGUAGAAUUCCACGUGUAGCGGUGAAAUGCGUAGAGAUGUGGAGGAAUACCGAAGGCGAAGGCAGCCCCUUGGGAAUGUACUGACGCUCAUGUGCGAAAGCGUGGGGAGCAAACAGGAUUAGAUACCCUGGUAGUCCACGCUGUAAACGAUGUCGAUUUGGGGGUUGAGCUUUGAGCUUGGCGCCCGUAGCUAACGUGAUAAAUCGACCGCCUGGGGAGUACGGCCGCAAGGUUAAAACUCAAAGGAAUUGACGGGGACCCGCACAAGCGGUGGAUGAUGUGGAUUAAUUCGAUGCAACGCGAAGAACCUUACCUGGUCUUGACAU